RNAcentral lists this ribosomal RNA (548 nucleotides) under uncultured Glomeromycotina. RNAcentral's name for it is "SSU rRNA". It matches the Rfam family "Eukaryotic small subunit ribosomal RNA", at positions 548 to 1098 of the family's 1831-position model. Lineage: Eukaryota; Fungi; Glomeromycota. The record is from RNAcentral.
UUGGAGGGCAAGUCUGGUGCCAGCAGCCGCGGUAAUUCCAGCUCCAAUAGCGUAUAUUAAAGUUGUUGCAGUUAAAAAGCUCGUAGUUGAAUUUCGGGAUCAAGGAAUCGGUCAUGCCUUGGUAUGUACUGGUUUUAUUGGUUCUCACCUUCUAAAGAACCAUAAUGUCAUUUAUUUGAUGUUAUGGGGAAUUAGGACUGUGACCUUGAAAAAAUUAGAGUGUUUAAAGCAAGCUUACGCUUGAAUACAUUAGCAUGGAAUAAUGAAAUAGGACAUCAGAUUCUAUUUUGUUGGUUUCUAGGAUCGAUGUAAUGAUUAAUAGGGAUAGUUGGGGGCAUUAGUAUUCAAUUGUCAGAGGUGAAAUUCUUGGAUUUAUUGAAGACUAACUACUGCGAAAGCAUUUGCCAAGGAUGUUUUCAUUAAUCAAGAACGAAAGUUAGGGGAUCGAAGACGAUCAGAUACCGUCGUAGUCUUAACCAUAAACUAUGCCGACUAGGGAUCGGAUGAUGUUAAUUUUUUAAUGACUCAUUCGGCGCCUUACGGGAAAC